Molecule: RNA transcript, 2012 nt
Organism: Dromaius novaehollandiae (emu)
Lineage: Eukaryota; Metazoa; Chordata; Aves; Casuariiformes; Dromaiidae
Exons: 5
Source: RefSeq, a predicted model, not a curated record
CGCUCUGGGCGGCGGCGGAAGUGGCGCGCCGGAAGCGGCGCCGUAUCCAGGUAACGGCGGCGCGGCGCGGCCCGGUGCCGGCGCGAUGAGCGGGCGGGCGGCGCGGCGGCGGCUGGUGCUGCACGUGGACCUCAACAACACGGUGGUGGCGGCGGACGCGGUGUCGGGGCAGGGCCCGCGGGCCGCGCUCAACAGCUUCCUCAGCACCGUCACCUGGGGCGCCGCCGGGCCUGCCGGCGAGUGGCAGUGGGCGAGCGACCGCCCUUCGCUGGGGCCCCCCUGCCCGGGCGCCGUCAGCUACUACUGCCGGUACGGCCGCGACCCGGCCUUCACCGAGCUGGGCCCGGGCCAGCGCUUCAGCAGCCUCCACGCGCACUACCUGCAGCUCCUGGAGUGGCCGGGCAAGGCUCACAAGGUGCUCUCUGUUCAGGGUGAGGAGAACAAGCACUACCACUUCGUCCUGCCCUCCUUCUUCCGCCUCCUGGACGCUCUGCACCGCGAUGGGAGGUCGUUUGCCGUCGUCUUCAGAACCUUUGGCACAGACCUGCCCCACGUUCUCCGCGCUGUGCACUGUGCCCUGGCUGGGCAGCACCCCCAGUUCCCUGGCCUGCAGGACGUGGCGCUCUCUGUGGACCUCACUCCUGGCCAAAUACGUUGCAGUAAGCGAGAGGUUGUGCUGAAGAGGGGAUCAGAGCGACUUUCCACCCGUGAAGAUGGAAGAAAGCUUUACGAUUACUUCAGCAAUUUUGAGGGAAUUGGAGGCUUCCAAGACCACUUUGACUGGUGGGCCAGAAACCAGUUCUCUUCACAGGGUGGGAAGCCCCUGUGGAUUGACCCCCAUGAUCCCAGUGUUCACCACAUCUUUAUUGAUGACAACAUCCGCCUGGAUGACACGGACACCAUUGUGCACCCCCAGGUACGUGGUGGAGCACCCCUGGGGUCCUAGCUGCCCAGGCUGAAGGGCGUUCCUGGUUAGUUCAGGCACGUUUUGUUCCCUUUCACCCUCUCGUGCUGAUGCAAAGGGGGAUCAAGGCUCAGCCCUGGUGUCGCUACAGCCCAAGAGAUUAGAAUCAGCGAGAAAGAUGCUCAGGGCUUCAGUGGGGAGGAUGAAAUCGGCUGUCAGCACAAAACAGCAGGUGUCCCCUGCCUGUGCUUGCUGCCAGCUCCGCUGCUCGGCUGGAGUGAGUCAUCCCCGCUCCCUCCUGGAGCCCAGCAGCAGCCAGCCUCUGCGUGCGGCUGAACCUCGCUUAUGGCACAACGUUUAAAGGGCAGCGUUUGUGCCGGAGCACGCUUGCAGAAGGGAACGUUAAUGCAGGCAGAAAUGCGCUUGGCAGCUGGACAGCUAUUGAUGCCUGAACACGAGCUGCAGCUCCACCAGCGAGUCUGAACCUCCGGCGUAUUUCCAUCUAGGAGGAGAGAGCAUGGGAGGAAGGAAGUGUGCGGUGGCCUGUGAAUGAUCCGCAGCAACUGCUGGGCACCUGGGGAGUGGCGAGGGGAGGGACGCUCUGGGUACUCGCUUGCGUACAAGCUCUGUCAGUUACUGGAUGUGUAGUUGGUGAUGCAAGUUGUCGCUGCCCGGAGCAGGCCUGUUAGAAGGGAGAUUUCGGUGUGAUCUGGGCUGUUUCAAGUGAAUUAAGGCAGAAGGCUCUGCUAAGAGCCUGAGGCCUCUGCUUGCAGCAGCUGCUGCCUUGCCUGUCUGCAGCAGCCAAAGAGCGUGGCUUGCUCAACUCCGCCUGCCGGAUUUCAGCCUUGGGCUGCUUCCCUGAUGGAGGAGUUCCUCCCUUAGCUGUCCAUGGGUCAGCUGGGUGGCUCGGUUUGUCUCAGGGCGUCUGUGAAGAUAACCUCAGGCCCCUUGGGGCUCUCCUGACUCCACACCAGACAGGUGUUUUCAGAGCGGGGCAGCAGCAGCCCUCGCUGUGCUCCCACUUCGGAGCUGUACGAUAUUUGCCUGGUGCAGACCCAUCUCCUGGAGGCCAUCGCUGAUGAGAACUAUUUCCUCCGCUGCGUGCAGA